CUUUUGCUUUUUUGCCCUGGCAAAAAUGACUGAAUCGGCUGACUUGGCGGAGGAACGCAGCCAACCAAAGCAACUGCGACUGGCGAAGGCACGUAGCCAUCAAGCGGUUAGAUUCUGUCACUAGGCAAAAG
Molecule: non-coding RNA, 131 nt
Organism: Enterococcus faecium DO
Lineage: Bacteria; Bacillati; Bacillota; Bacilli; Lactobacillales; Enterococcaceae
Source: Rfam